This 348-nucleotide ribosomal RNA is filed under the name Triticum aestivum (bread wheat). Its description in RNAcentral is "partial small subunit ribosomal RNA". The record is from RNAcentral. Lineage: Eukaryota; Viridiplantae; Streptophyta; Magnoliopsida; Poales; Poaceae.
AUGGCUGGCGUGAUGCUCCAGCGCAACCGCUUCGUGUGCUACCUCAAGUCGCGCGGCCACUAUGUUCGUGCCGAGGCGGAGGCUGCUGCCACUCUCGACGCCCUCCACUGUGUGCUCUCGUCAGUGGCGUUCGCAAAGCCUUGUCACGGCGCUGCAAGUGUUUCCCCCCUCCUCCCCAAGGGCAAGGUGAAGGAAGGUGCAUGUGUGGUUCUUCUGCAGCUCGCAGCGAGGAUUGUUGUGUCCAACCUGCACAAGAAUGCCAAGAAGUCCUUCUCGAAGACGAUUAAGGACAUGUACCUGCACUACAAUGAGAGAUCUGGGCUGCUUCUUUGUGGCUUGCAAACUUGA